This 440-nucleotide ribosomal RNA is filed under the name uncultured bacterium. Its description in RNAcentral is "partial 16S ribosomal RNA". It matches the Rfam family "Bacterial small subunit ribosomal RNA", at positions 338 to 795 of the family's 1533-position model. The record is from RNAcentral.
CCUACGGGAGGCAGCAGUGGGGGAUAUUGCACAAUGGGGGGAACCCUGAUGCAGCAACGCCGCGUGGGUGAAGAAGUGCUUCGGUGUGUAAAGCCCUGUCAGCAGGGAAGAAAAUGACGGUACCUGACCAAGAAGCCCCGGCUAACUACGUGCCAGCAGCCGCGGUAAUACGUAGGGGGCAAGCGUUAUCCGGAUUUACUGGGGGGAAAGCGAGCGUAGGCGGUAUGGCAAGUCAGGAGUGAAAGCCCUGGGCUCAACGGGGGAACUGCCUUGGAAACUGGCUAGCUGGAGUGUAGGAGAGGUGAGGGGAAUUCCUGGUGUAGCAGUGAAAUGCGUAGAUAUUAGGAGGAACAUCGGUGGCGAAGGCGGCUUACUGGAACAUAACUGACGCUGAGGAUCGAAAGCGUGGGUAGCAAACAGGAUUAGAUACCCUAGUAGUC